This 382-nucleotide ribosomal RNA is filed under the name uncultured bacterium. RNAcentral describes it as "bacterial SSU rRNA". It matches the Rfam family "Bacterial small subunit ribosomal RNA", at positions 29 to 402 of the family's 1533-position model. The record is from RNAcentral.
AACGAACGCUGGCGGCGCGCCUAAUACAUGCAAGUCGAGCGAGAAGGUGUAGCAAUACACUUGUAAAGCGGCGAACGGGUGAGGAAUGCAUGGGUAACCUACCCUCGAGUGGGGAAUAACUAGCCGAAAGGUUAGCUAAUACCGCAUACGUUUCCGGAACUUCGGUUUCGGAAAGAAAGCAAUACCGUGGGUAUUGCGCUCCUGGAUGGGCUCAUGUCCUAUCAGCUUGUUGGUGAGGUAACGGCUCACCAAGGCUUCGACGGGUAGCUGGUCUGAGAGGACGAUCAGCCACACUGGCACUGCGACACGGGCCAGACUCCUACGGAGGCAGCAGUAAGGAAUAUUGCGCAAUGGACGAAAGUCUGACGCAGCGACGCCGCGU